UCAAACUUUAGACUUAUUCCACUCUACGUGACUGGUUUUCACCUUUGAAAAUGUUGGUGGAAAAAAUACACGCGAAGUGUCAUUUUUUUCGACAAAGUGAUCGUGACGUGACGUUCAUAAUAACACCGAGUUCAUUCAAGUUGUCACUUCAAAUGAACUCUACACAUUUUAUCACGAAGGUGACACCCGGAAUACGGUGUUGAUCACUUCACUUCGUCUACACCGUGAAGUGAUACCCCAUUCCGAACCAAAUUCCGAAUGGUUUGACCGGGCAGUAAUAGGCUACGAGAAGUGUUUCUUCCUUUUCGGAAAUAAAUUUGUGAUAGAACGGACCUGUUUCACGGAGCAGUGUGGAUUUAUUCCCUACAAGCUGGCCUCGCUAUGAAAUAAGAUAAUCAGCAUCAAUCUCUGGCAGUCCAAAAGAAAUGUUUCUCCCCCUGAAAACUCGCAAAAUCCUUCACGUGUUCUUAUCGUUCCAUUCCACCCAGGAAAAUCUAGGUUAAAGCAAUCAUUAGCUGCAGACGAUUCGCAGAUAGGUAUCAUUCCGAGUUUUCUCCUUUCUUCUCUUCACAAAUUAAAGGAAGAAAAAACUCAAUCGAGACUUCUUCGUGGAAGGAAAAGAAUUCACCGUGUGACGACUGCUCAUUAAAAUAACCUAUUGAAACGGAACAAGUUUCUAAAAGACUCCCCCCUGCUCUACCACCCACUUUGCCCCAUCCCCCCGUGCAUUAAUGGGCAGCAAAUCCAAUACGAAUCGCAGCAAAUUCCGUGGGGACAAAGCGAUAAGCGCGACCCGACUCAGUUAACUGCUUCUGAAAAUAUAUACAACUAGGUACACUUCUCUCUUCCUUCUACUUGGCAUUUUCACCGUUAAUCUGCUCUAAAGGGGAAACGACUGUCGAGGGCGACGGAAUCGUCUUGGAUUUAAUUGAAAUUUAAAGAAAAAAUGUCAGCAAUAGGGAAAAAAUCUAACUGAAACGAAAUAAUUAUCUCUUCAGUAGUUAAGCGCCAGAGGAGAAUCAGGGAAUCGCUUAACUUUUGCCCGUUUUCAUUCAAGACGGCCCCUUCUGGCAAGGUGUCUGUCUAAUGACACUGGAUUAGACACCGAGGAAAAGUCUUUUAUGAAUUAGAAAAGUUGUAGCCAUUCACCCUGCUGGUUAGCUGGCAAACAGAAGGGUUGUGAAAAAUGUUAAAUCGAUUGAAAACUUGGUUUGAGUUUGCCUCAAUACUGACGAGGUAAAUUAAGGUGUACAGGUAAUUCUAAUAAAUUUUCGGUUCAGUACCUCGCCCGCUUAGGUCCUAAUUCGUUCCUCAAAUAAUACUUGUAUUUCGAAUUCAUCUCGUCAGUAACUAGCACCAACUUGAGGCCAACUUGGACGAUGUAUCCAAAUUAGUACCUAAAUUAGCACUACUUAGACACAAUAUUCCCAACAGUCACACGACACAUGUGAACGCUUAAAUCAACUGGCUUGCCGAGUGAUGUCCCGGGAAGCAAAGACAGACGUUCCGGUUUAGUAAAAAUUGUCUUUCUUUACCCUUUGAAAUUUUAUAAGAAAAAAUCGUGAUGUUCUUUAUAGAAUCGUUUUUUUAUUAUUUGUCCAAUAAAUGUAGUUUUAUCCUAAGUUUGU
Topomyia yanbarensis is the source of this 1628-nucleotide long non-coding RNA. RefSeq lists it as uncharacterized. NCBI's taxonomy places the organism in Eukaryota, Metazoa, Arthropoda, Insecta, Diptera, Culicidae. The transcript is spliced from 3 exons. The record is from RefSeq and is a predicted model, not a curated record.